RNAcentral lists this unclassified non-coding RNA (241 nucleotides) under uncultured fungus. Its description in RNAcentral is "sequence contains ITS1, 5.8S rRNA gene". The stretch from base 193 to 241 matches the Rfam family "5.8S ribosomal RNA", at positions 1 to 49 of the family's 154-position model. The record is from RNAcentral. Lineage: Eukaryota; Fungi.
UCUCCGUUGGUGAACCAGCGGAGGGAUCAUUAUAGAACAGUUUACUGCUCUUCAACCCCUGUGAACUUACCUUAUUAUUCUCCGGCGGAACGCCCCGGUGCCUUCGGGGCCGGACCAGGCGCCCGCCGGGGUACACUAAACUCUGUUUGUACCCUGUAUACCUCAGAAUUAGGCGUAAAGCCGAAAUGUAACAACUUUUGACAAUGGAUCUCUUGGCACUGGCAUCGAUGAAGAACGCAGC